GUGCAGCAGUCGCGAAAACUUUGCAAUAAGCGAAAGCUUGACAGGGCUAUCCCGAGUGCCAUCCGCUGAGGAAGGCUUUUACCCAGUCUAGAAAGCUGGGGGAAUAAGGAGAGGGCAAGUCUGGUGUCAGCCGCCGCGGUAAUACCAGCUCUCCGAGUGGUGGGGACGUUUAUUGGGCCUAAAGCAUCCGUAGCUGGCUGAGUUAGUCCCCUGUUAAAUCCACCGAAUUAAUCGUUGGAUUGCGGGGGAUACUGCUCGGCUAGGGGACGGGAGAGGCAGACGGUAUUUUCGGGGUAGGGGUGAAAUCCUAUAAUCCCGGGAAGACCACCAGUGGCGAAGGCUGUCUGCUAGAACGCGCCCGACGGUGAGGGAUGAAAGCUGGGGGAGCGAACCGGAUUAGAUACCCGGGUAGUCC
RNAcentral lists this ribosomal RNA (415 nucleotides) under uncultured crenarchaeote. RNAcentral describes it as "partial 16S ribosomal RNA". It matches the Rfam family "Archaeal small subunit ribosomal RNA", at positions 330 to 747 of the family's 1478-position model. The record is from RNAcentral. Lineage: Archaea; Thermoproteati; Thermoproteota.